This 69-nucleotide transfer RNA is filed under the name Ictidomys tridecemlineatus (thirteen-lined ground squirrel). RNAcentral's name for it is "Spermophilus tridecemlineatus (thirteen-lined ground squirrel) tRNA". It matches the Rfam family "tRNA". From Rfam's summary of the family: Transfer RNA (tRNA) molecules are approximately 80 nucleotides in length. Their secondary structure includes four short double-helical elements and three loops (D, anti-codon, and T loops). Lineage: Eukaryota; Metazoa; Chordata; Mammalia; Rodentia; Sciuridae. The record is from Rfam by way of RNAcentral.
GGGAUUGUAGCUCAGUGGUAAAGCACUUGCCUAGCAUGUAUGCGGUACUGGGUUCGAUCCUCAGCACCA